This is a non-coding RNA of Oryza sativa Japonica Group (Japanese rice), 3544 nucleotides long. The record is from RefSeq and is a predicted model, not a curated record. NCBI's taxonomy places the organism in Eukaryota, Viridiplantae, Streptophyta, Magnoliopsida, Poales, Poaceae.
AAUUCAUACGUAAAAGGAGGCCUUGACUUUGAAAUUGGUAGGGGAGCAAGGCCGAUCUGGGCUGGGUUCCAUUGGGCCGAAUGCAUCGAGGACCCACCUGUCAGACGGGUCCAUGUAAGAGUCUCCAAGACCAGGUGCACGCAGCCACGCAGCGGAGCACCACCAGAUCUCCCUUGGACCGGUUCCAUCGUCUCCGCCGUGGACCAGCGCCAACCCUCGCCACCGCACGUCGCCGGGCUCCGGCGAGGCCGCCGGAGUGUCGUCGGGAAGCGGAGGGCCUCCUCCGUGCCGCGCCUCCCUCCGCCCCUCACCCCUUCCUCCUCAUGGCUAGGUCCUGACCUGAGGUGGGGCUCCGCGGCUACUGCUCCCCGCCUCGCCCCGCCCCCGCCCCCGCCCCCUGCCUCUCCGCCGCGGCGCCACUCCGGGCUCCGGCACCUCCCUCUCCGUGCGCUCCUGCGGGAAGUUGUGUGGAGCUAUCUCUGAUGCUGUUUAUGCAAAGACUUAUGCUCACUUCUUGAUUAGAAAUGGACAGUAGCCGAGAUUCUGAAGAAGAAAGGCCUCAAAGGAAGGACAAUGGCGAAGAAACUGAAAAUGGGGAAGAUGGUGGAAAUGCUUUGAGCCUCAAGGAUGUUGCCAAUGAGCUUCUUGGUUGUGUUGUCCAUAGUGAGGAAGAGGCAUACAAACUGUAUUGUGACUAUGGACAUAGAAUUGGUUUUAGUGUCCGCAAGGGUAAACAGUCUUACUUCAUUGGCACGAAGAAUAUUCGUACAAAAGAUUACUACUGCUCAAAAGAAGGGCUUAAGUACGAUGAGCCAGUUACAGAAGCAAAUUUUAAUCGACCAGACACAAGAACUAAUUGCAAAGCAAUGAUCCGCUUUAGAGUUGAUGAGAAAGGACGCUGGACAGUCAUACGCUUUGUCCCAACGCAUAAUCACCAGUUGGCUAAACCUGGGGAAAGACACAUGUUGAGAUCUGCGAAGUCGCUUGCUGUUGGAAAAUCAGGUGUCAUAGAUCCACAAGCAUCUACGGAAUCACAUCCAAUAAAUGGUUUCUCUCAUAUGAUAGGAAGUGAUAUUGUGGAGCCUCCUGGGUAUACUAUAAGGGAUUGCUACAAUCAUGUGAGCAUGCAGGGUAUAACGAUAAUCGAGGCAGGAGACAGCCAAAGUCUUGUGAACUAUUUCAAGCGUAGAACCAAUGAGGAAGGUAUGUUCUAUUGGGAUGUUCAAGUUGAUCAAGAAGGUCGUAUGACCAACUUUUUCUUCAGGGAUGCCAAAAGUAGAAAUGAUUUUGACUGCUUUGGAGAUGCUGUUAUAUUUGACACAACCUUCCGCACAAAUAAAUACAGCCUGGUAUGUGCUCCUUUUGUUGGAGUUAACCACCAUUGGCAGAAUAUUGUUUUUGGAUGUGCAUUCUUGUUAGAUGAGUCCUCAGCUUCCUAUGUUUGGUUAUUUAAAUCAUUCCUCGAGUCAAUGGGUGGCCGGUCUCCAAAAUCAAUUUUCACUGAUCAGGAUGACGCUAUUACGCAGGCAGUUGAGCUGGUUUUUCCUAACACGCAGCACUGUUUUUCCUAUUGGCAUAUUCUGAAAAAUGCACAGUCUCAUUUAGGCACGGUAAAUACCUCUCAAACAUUUCAAAAUAUGUUUAUUAAGUGCAUGCAAGGACCUAACUCAGAAACGGAGCUUGAGGAAUCAUGGGCCACAAUGUUAAAUGAAUAUAAGUUACAGGAGAAUAGCUGGCUUAGCGACCUUUAUAGGUCCCGCAAUAAAUGGUGCUCAGCAUUUAAUAAAGAUACUUUCGAUGGUGGGAUCAAUUCAUCUCAGUGGGGGGAGGUCUCAAACAAUACAUUUACUGGAAUAUCUGAUGAAUCUACCCCUCUUACACGAUUUGCCCUUUUACUAGAAAAGGUUUUCAAGGGUCUACGUAGAAAUGAAUCUGAAGAGGAUUUUCGCUGUAGCCAAACUGCUCCAGUUCGUGCAAUUAAACACAGUACAGUUCUGAAGCAGGCCGCAGAAUCCUACACGCAUAAGAUAUACAAAUUAUUUGAGGCAGAAUUUCUGGAUGGGUGCGGAGCAACUUCAUGCCAUGAAAGUUCUUGUGGUGGGAACUUGUUGAGGUUUGAAAUUACUAUGCAGGGGAGGGGAUCAAAAGUGUGGACCGUUCUUCUUGAUACCUCCACGAUGGAAAUCUCUUGUGGUUGCAGAAAGUUUGAAAGGAUGGGUCUUCUUUGUUCACAUGCUCUGAAAGCCUUCAGCCUGCAAAAUGUGGACACAAUUCCUGAGAAGUACAUUUCGAAACGAUGGACAAAAGAUGCCAGGAGAAGCAUGUAUAAGCUUAGUCAAGAUGAUUCAACACAACAGGAAUGCACUGAGGCUGAACUUGCAUAUCGCAACCGGGCAACGCAGUAUGCAUGUAGCCUUAUAGCGAAGAGCCAGGAACUGGAUGAAUCAAGAAAGAUAUUCUGGGACACCCUUGAAACAGGAGAAAAAGCACUUGAUGUAUUCUUUGAAAUUAGAAGUUUGCGUAGUCAAGCUGCAAAAGAUGUCAGUAAAAGGGACAAAAAGAAGAAAAAAUCAUCUAAAGGACCAAGCACAAGUGAAAAAAGCAAAACCAACCCCAGCAACUUCCUCUGCUGUACCUGAACUUCUUGCCCAAACUAAUGUGCACCAGUUUCAAUCUGCACAAGAUGCUCAGGGUAACACGACAAUUGGUAGACCGUUGUACUAUCAGGCUUUUUCAUCUGCCCCAAUUCAACCAAACCAGAUCUACAUGCAUCCGAACAUGCACACAAUGCCUCUUUGUGCACCACAGCAGGAUUUCUCGGCAUAUUCUGCAAUGCGUCCCAAUUCGAAUUUUGGUGGUGCAAAGAAUGUCUGAAGGACAGUAAGGAAUCUGCUAAGACGUCUUUUGGAAAAUGCUGCUUGGACAUGGAUGCAGCCAACCACCUGGAUGGAUUUUGUCAACCUUCCCGGAGGUGUGAUGUUGCUUUUGGAUGUUAAUUUCUGGCUCGCAACUGUUGAUGUGUGUAACUAUUCUGGUCUUUGACGUUUCUGUUCUGUUGAAGUGGAGUUCUAGUAAUGUCAAUUAGGUGACUGUAGGCUUGUAAGUUAUAAUUGGAGUGUAGAUGCUGGAUGAAUAGAGGCCAGGAACAUGUUGCUUCCAUUGUCUUAAGGAAAAGGUUGUAACUGGGAGUAGUCACUAGCUAUUUACAGGAUCAGAUUCUUUGGGCUAAAAGAUGAUCAGCUGGCGCCCUUGUUGCCUCUUGGCCCAUGGUGCUACUAGUUGUCAAGAGCAGAUAGCAUCCCUUCUCGAAGGAGUUGAGCUGCAGAACAAUGUGAAAAGGAAGCUGAAAUGGAAGCUCAUGCAGAUUCAGUGAAGUGCACCGUCUCUGCAUGGGAGGCAGUAGUUCCAAACUGACCUUGUUAUAUGUUUUUUUUUGUGAAGAUUUUGGAUCUAAUUUAGUGUACCUGUACAAUCUGACUGCUGAUUAAGAUGACACAGCAGUAUUGAUCUGAUAUUGAAACUGUCUAUGCUCUUCGAUUGUUCA